RNAcentral lists this long non-coding RNA (207 nucleotides) under Hordeum vulgare. RNAcentral's name for it is "long non-coding RNA (HVUL_LNC009740)". The record is from RNAcentral. Lineage: Eukaryota; Viridiplantae; Streptophyta; Magnoliopsida; Poales; Poaceae.
GUUAUCGUUGUUGUUAUUGUUGUUGUUGUUCUUGUUGUUGUUUUGAUGUUGUCGUUGUAGUUCUCGUUGUCGUCAUUGUUGUUGUGGUGGUCCUUGUUAUCGUCGUUAUCGUUGUCGUUUAUCGUUGUCGUCGUCGUUGUUGUUGUGGCUGUUGUCGUCGUCGUCGUCGUCGUUGUUGUUGUUGUUUUUGUUUUUGUUUUUGUUCUU